This 3005-nucleotide ribosomal RNA is filed under the name Salmonella enterica. RNAcentral's name for it is "bacterial LSU rRNA". It matches the Rfam family "Bacterial large subunit ribosomal RNA". The record is from RNAcentral. Lineage: Bacteria; Pseudomonadati; Pseudomonadota; Gammaproteobacteria; Enterobacterales; Enterobacteriaceae.
UUAAGCGACUAAGCGUACACGGUGGAUGCCCUGGCAGUCAGAGGCGAUGAAGGACGUGCUAAUCUGCGAUAAGCGCCGGUAAGGUGAUAUGAACCGUUAUAACCGGCGAUUUCCGAAUGGGGAAACCCAGUGUGACUCGUCACACUAUCAUUAACUGAAUCCAUAGGUUAAUGAGGCGAACCGGGGGAACUGAAACAUCUAAGUACCCCGAGGAAAAGAAAUCAACCGAGAUUCCCCCAGUAGCGGCGAGCGAACGGGGAGGAGCCCAGAGCCUGAAUCAGCAUGUGUGUUAGUGGAAGCGUCUGGAAAGGCGCGCGAUACAGGGUGACAGCCCCGUACACAAAAGCGCAUAUGCUGUGAGCUCGAUGAGUAGGGCGGGACACGUGGUAUCCUGUCUGAAUAUGGGGGGACCAUCCUCCAAGGCUAAAUACUCCUGACUGACCGAUAGUGAACCAGUACCGUGAGGGAAAGGCGAAAAGAACCCCGGCGAGGGGAGUGAAAAAGAACCUGAAACCGUGUACGUACAAGCAGUGGGAGCCCCACCACUAAGCCAGUGGUGAACUCCACAUACGCAUCCUUUGCUGAGGAUACGGUUAACGGAGCGAAAGCGACGUUCAACCUCAAAAGAAGCAGAGGGGGCUUAGUGGUGGGGUGACUGCGUACCUUUUGUAUAAUGGGUCAGCGACUUAUAUUCUGUAGCAAGGUUAACCGUAUAGGGGAGCCGGAGGGAAACCGAGUCUUAACCGGGCGUUAAGUUGCAGGGUAUAGACCCGAAACCCGGUGAUCUAGCCAUGGGCAGGUUGAAGGUUGGGUAACACUAACUGGAGGACCGAACCGACUAAUGUUGAAAAAUUAGCGGAUGACCUGUGGCUGGGGGUGAAAGGCCAAUCAAACCGGGAGAUAGCUGGUUCUCCCCGAAAGCUAUUUAGGUAGCGCCUCGUGAAUUCAUCUCCGGGGGUAGAGCACUGUUUCGGCUAGGGGGCCAUCCCGGCUUACCAACCCGAUGCAAACUGCGAAUACCGGAGAAUGUUAUCACGGGAGACACACGGCGGGUGCUAACGUCCGUCGUGAAGAGGGAAACAACCCAGACCGCCAGCUAAGGUCCCAAAGUCAUGGUUAAGUGGGAAACGAUGUGGGAAGGCCCAGACAGCCAGGAUGUUGGCUUAGAAGCAGCCAUCAUUUAAAGAAAGCGUAAUAGCUCACUGGUCGAGUCGGCCUGCGCGGAAGAUGUAACGGGGCUAAACCAUGCACCGAAGCUGCGGCAGCGACACUCAGGUGUUGUUGGGUAGGGGAGCGUUCUGUAAGCCUGCGAAGGUGGCCUGUGAGGGUUGCUGGAGGUAUCAGAAGUGCGAAUGCUGACAUAAGUAACGAUAAAGCGGGUGAAAAGCCCGCUCGCCGGAAGACCAAGGGUUCCUGUCCAACGUUAAUCGGGGCAGGGUGAGUCGACCCCUAAGGCGAGGCCGAAAGGCGUAGUCGAUGGGAAACGGGUUAAUAUUCCCGUACUUGGUGUUACUGCGAAGGGGGGACGGAGAAGGCUAUGUUGGCCGGGCGACGGUUGUCCCGGUUUAAGCGUGUAGGUGUGUGUUCCAGGUAAAUCCGGUUCACUUUAACACUGAGGCGUGAUGACGAGGCACUACGGUGCUGAAGCAACAAAUGCCCUGCUUCCAGGAAAAGCCUCUAAGCAUCAGGUAACAUCAAAUCGUACCCCAAACCGACACAGGUGGUCAGGUAGAGAAUACCAAGGCGCUUGAGAGAACUCGGGUGAAGGAACUAGGCAAAAUGGUGCCGUAACUUCGGGAGAAGGCACGCUGACAUGUAGGUGAAGUGAUUUACUCAUGGAGCUGAAGUCAGUCGAAGAUACCAGCUGGCUGCAACUGUUUAUUAAAAACACAGCACUGUGCAAACACGAAAGUGGACGUAUACGGUGUGACGCCUGCCCGGUGCCGGAAGGUUAAUUGAUGGGGUCAGCGCAAGCGAAGCUCCUGAUCGAAGCCCCGGUAAACGGCGGCCGUAACUAUAACGGUCCUAAGGUAGCGAAAUUCCUUGUCGGGUAAGUUCCGACCUGCACGAAUGGCGUAAUGAUGGCCAGGCUGUCUCCACCCGAGACUCAGUGAAAUUGAACUCGCUGUGAAGAUGCAGUGUACCCGCGGCAAGACGGAAAGACCCCGUGAACCUUUACUAUAGCUUGACACUGAACAUUGAGCCUUGAUGUGUAGGAUAGGUGGGAGGCUUUGAAGUGUGGACGCCAGUCUGCAUGGAGCCGACCUUGAAAUACCACCCUUUAAUGUUUGAUGUUCUAACGUGGACCCGUGAUCCGGGUUGCGGACAGUGUCUGGUGGGUAGUUUGACUGGGGCGGUCUCCUCCUAAAGAGUAACGGAGGAGCACGAAGGUUGGCUAAUCCUGGUCGGACAUCAGGAGGUUAGUGCAAUGGCAUAAGCCAGCUUGACUGCGAGCGUGACGGCGCGAGCAGGUGCGAAAGCAGGUCAUAGUGAUCCGGUGGUUCUGAAUGGAAGGGCCAUCGCUCAACGGAUAAAAGGUACUCCGGGGAUAACAGGCUGAUACCGCCCAAGAGUUCAUAUCGACGGCGGUGUUUGGCACCUCGAUGUCGGCUCAUCACAUCCUGGGGCUGAAGUAGGUCCCAAGGGUAUGGCUGUUCGCCAUUUAAAGUGGUACGCGAGCUGGGUUUAGAACGUCGUGAGACAGUUCGGUCCCUAUCUGCCGUGGGCGCUGGAGAACUGAGGGGGGCUGCUCCUAGUACGAGAGGACCGGAGUGGACGCAUCACUGGUGUUCGGGUUGUCAUGCCAAUGGCACUGCCCGGUAGCUAAAUGCGGAAGAGAUAAGUGCUGAAAGCAUCUAAGCACGAAACUUGCCCCGAGAUGAGUUCUCCCUGAGACUUAGAGUCUCCUGAAGGAACGUUGAAGACGACGACGUUGAUAGGCCGGGUGUGUAAGCGCAGCGAUGCGUUGAGCUAACCGGUACUAAUGAACCGUGAGGCUUAACCUU